UGGGGAAUUUUGCACAAUGGGGGAAACCCUGAUGCAGCGACGCCGCGUGAUUUAGAAGGCCUUCGGGUUGUAAAAAUCUUUUUUACGGGAUGAAAAUGACAGUACCGUAAGAAUAAGGUCCGGCUAAAUACGUGCCAGCAGCCGCGGUAAUACGUAUGGACCGAGCGUUGUCCGGAAUCAUUGGGCGUAAAGGGUACGUAGGCGGCCUAGUAAGUUAGAAGUGAAAUAAUAUAGCUCAACUAUAUAAAGCUUUUAAAACUGCUAGGCUUGAGAGAUGGAAGGGAAAGUGGAAUUCCUAGUGUAGCGGUGAAAUGCGCAGAUAUUAGGAAGAAUACCGGUGGGGAAGGCGACUUUCUGGUCAUCAUCUGACGCUGAGGUACGAAAGCGUGGGUAGCAAACAGG
RNAcentral lists this ribosomal RNA (402 nucleotides) under bacterium. RNAcentral's name for it is "partial 16S ribosomal RNA". It matches the Rfam family "Bacterial small subunit ribosomal RNA", at positions 355 to 776 of the family's 1533-position model. The record is from RNAcentral.